AUUCCACGCAGAGGGAACCGCUUGUGCAAAGGCCCCGAGACUGCAAGAACAUCCUGAAGAGGGUAGAAGAGAGGUCUGAGCGGGAGUGCACUGCUUUGGAUGCCCACAAGGAGCUGGAAAUGGUGGUGAAGGCAUGCAACGAGGGCGUCAGGAAAAUGAGCCGCACGGAACAGAUGAUCAGCAUUCAGAAGAAGAUGGAGUUCAAGAUCAAGGUGAACCGGUGGGAUUGGUGUGAGCCUGUGCCCAUGCACAGGCCCCUGGCCCCGCCCCAGAGGCACAGAUCACCGCACCUGGCUGGCCUUGCUUAGGUCCUUGGUCACUGGCCACACUUAGGAUCCCCUCUGCCCCCUGACCUCCCCAGCUGAAGCCACCCCACCUGCCACCAGGCGUCAGACACCACCACGGUGGCCCGGACCUGUCUCCUGGGAGACGGGAGUGCGGGGCUACUGUGCGGUCCAGACCCACGCAGGGUGUGGACCCUGCUCUCACCUGCCCGCUGCGUGGCCUUGAGCAGUCAGUUUACAUGGAGGAUGUGGGGGGGCUGCUCCAGGGAUUCUCAAACCAGGA
This 567-nucleotide small RNA is filed under the name Pan troglodytes (chimpanzee). RNAcentral describes it as "retained intron". The record is from RNAcentral. Lineage: Eukaryota; Metazoa; Chordata; Mammalia; Primates; Hominidae.